This 626-nucleotide long non-coding RNA is filed under the name Monodelphis domestica (gray short-tailed opossum). RNAcentral describes it as "lncRNA (ENSMODG00000049469.1)". The record is from RNAcentral. Lineage: Eukaryota; Metazoa; Chordata; Mammalia; Didelphimorphia; Didelphidae.
AUGAAGCAAUUUUUAAUACAUGGCCAACACAGGAAUUUGUUUGCUCAACUAUCUAUACCAGUUCCAGAAAAUGGUAGAAGCACUAUAACCAUACUCCUCGCUGAGACUCUCACCAGUGACCAUAAGAUGAACAAAACAAUGCCAAGGGCACUACAUGCCUACCAGUGCCCACAAAACCAGGACAUCAGGAGCAUUGCAGUGUUGGAGUCACUUGGGAGUUGGACAAGAAAAACAAGGUCAUCAUCUCCACAAGCACUUAGUACAGUGCCUGGAAGAUGCUCUAUCAUCUUGUAUUUUAAAGGAAGAAGGAUUAUGACUGUGAGAGGGAGAAAUGAGAAGAUGAGAGGGGAGACAUUCAGAGUCAGAAUAUGUGUUUGAGAAAAGAGACUAUCUGCUAACCAAACCACUCUCUGACACCAUCUACUGGGCUUCAGCGCUUCAGGACUAUCCACUAAGGCAGUGAUGGACAACCUUUUGAGCUUGUUGUGUCAAAAUCCACCAAAAAACAGAGCAUAACUUGGGUGGUAUGUCACUUCAAGGAAAAAAAGCAUAAUUUUUCAAUAUUUAUAGUUUAAAUAACAAAAAUGUAUAAUUGUAAUAUAUAACUGUAUUUAAUAAACCAAAAA